This 86-nucleotide transfer RNA is filed under the name Fructobacillus sp. EFB-N1. Its description in RNAcentral is "tRNA-Ser". It matches the Rfam family "tRNA". From Rfam's summary of the family: Transfer RNA (tRNA) molecules are approximately 80 nucleotides in length. Their secondary structure includes four short double-helical elements and three loops (D, anti-codon, and T loops). Further hydrogen bonds mediate the characteristic L-shaped molecular structure. tRNAs have two regions of fundamental functional importance: the anti-codon, which is responsible for specific mRNA codon recognition, and the 3' end, to which the tRNAs corresponding amino acid is attached (by aminoacyl-tRNA synthetases). tRNAs cope with the degeneracy of the genetic code in two manners: having more than one tRNA (with a specific anti-codon) for a particular amino acid; and 'wobble' base-pairing, i.e. permitting non-standard base-pairing at the 3rd anti-codon position. Lineage: Bacteria; Bacillati; Bacillota; Bacilli; Lactobacillales; Lactobacillaceae. The record is from RNAcentral.
UGCCGAUGUGGCGGAACUGGCAGACGCGUACCGUUCAGGUCGGUAUGGUGAUUUCACCGUGCAGGUUCGAUUCCUGUCAUCGGCAU